Molecule: long non-coding RNA, 964 nt
Organism: Dioscorea cayenensis subsp. rotundata (Guinea yam)
Lineage: Eukaryota; Viridiplantae; Streptophyta; Magnoliopsida; Dioscoreales; Dioscoreaceae
Exons: 4
Source: RefSeq, a predicted model, not a curated record
CUUCACACAGCCACCACCUCAUAUCUUGCGCUGCCAAGUUCGUUGCUCGCUGUCACUGCCGCCACCGAUGCCGACGAACCCCAUCACCAUUUCCCCUUCGUCUUCGAAUCUCUUCUCUCCGGCGCCAUCAAAAUCCAUCACCAGAUCCGCGGAUCCAAAGACGCAGCUCGUUUGUUGUCGGUGAUCCGCCAGAGCGGCAGGCACCUACACCUCCACUGCCAUCGUUGCCGCCGUUGUCGUUGCCUAUUGGGUAUUGGGAGAAUAAGGUUAGGAGCAAUCUGGAGUUUUUCUUAACGGCAAAGUUAAAUGGAUUCGAGAAUGCUGUAAAUAUGGCAGUACCUCCGGAGGAGGUUAAGGAGGACGCGGAGAAGAGCGAGGAGAAUGUGAAGCCAAAGUGAAAGCCUUUGCAUUGGGACAAAGUUAGGGCAAACUCUGAUUGAGCAAUGGUGUGGGAUUAGCUAAAGUCUAGUCUAGCUCCUUCUAGUUAAAUGAGGGGAUGAUUAAAUCAUUGUUUGUUUGCAAUGCUACAUAAACAACUACAAUUGUGAUGAAGGAGACGAGUAAGAGGCAGGCCCUUCCCUCACCUAAAUAGGAGAAUAGGGUCCUUGACCCGAAGAAAUCGCAGAACAUUUCCAUAUUGCUAAGGGCACUGAAUGUGAUGAAGGAGGAAGUCUGUGGAGCUCUUUUUGGAAGCUCUAGACCUGCAAAUUGUAAUUUUGGAGGCGGUGUUAUGUAGCUGGACAAGUAUGAGAUAGGAAGAAAUCAUUCUGUAAAUUCCUAGAGGCUAUUCUCAAGACAGGUUACCGAAUGAAAGUUGGAACUAAACAAGGUGAUGCGCAUGCGUUCAAACUUGACACUCUCCUCAAAUUGGUCGAUGUCAAAGGAAACCUUGGCGGUUGUUUGACCCUUUUUUUUCAUGUAAGUAAUUGUAUUACCUAAUUUUUUCAUGGAUGUAUAUAAAGAU